CGGGACGGGUGAGUAACACGUGAGCAACCUGCCUUCGAGAGGGGAAUAACGGCUGGAAACGGUCGCUAAUACCGCAUAACAUACCGGGAGGACAUCCUGCUGGUAUCAAAGAUUUUAUCGCUCGAAGAUGGGCUCGCGUCCGAUUAGGUAGUUGGUGAGGUAACGGCUCACCAAGCCGACGAUCGGUAGCCGGACUGAGAGGUUGAACGGCCACAUUGGGACUGAGACACGGCUCAGACUCCUACGGGAGGCAGCAG
Molecule: ribosomal RNA, 257 nt
Filed under: uncultured bacterium
Lineage: Bacteria
Description: partial 16S ribosomal RNA
Rfam family: Bacterial small subunit ribosomal RNA
Source: RNAcentral